GUGGGGAAUAUUGGACAAUGGGCGAAAGCCUGAUCCAGCCAUGCCGCGUGUGUGAAGAUGGUCUUCGGAUUGUAAAGCACUUUAAGCGAGGAGGAGGCUACCGAGAUUAAUACUCUUGGAUAGUGGACGUUACUCGCAGAAUAAGCACCGGCUAACUCUGUGCCAGCAGCCGCGGUAAUACAGAGGGUGCAAGCGUUAAUCGGAUUUACUGGGCGUAAAGCGCGCGUAGGUGGCCAAUUAAGUCAAAUGUGAAAUCCCCGAGCUUAACUUGGGAAUUGCAUUCGAUACUGGUUGGCUAGAGUAUGGGAGAGGAUGGUAGAAUUCCAGGUGUAGCGGUGAAAUGCGUAGAGAUCUGGAGGAAUACCGAUGGCGAAGGCAGCCAUCUGGCCUAAUACUGACACUGAGGUGCGAAAGCAUGGGGAGCAAACAGGAUUAGAAACCCGGGUAGUCC
Molecule: ribosomal RNA, 451 nt
Filed under: uncultured bacterium
Lineage: Bacteria
Description: partial 16S ribosomal RNA
Rfam family: Bacterial small subunit ribosomal RNA
Source: RNAcentral